Molecule: non-coding RNA, 44 nt
Organism: Echinostoma caproni
Lineage: Eukaryota; Metazoa; Platyhelminthes; Trematoda; Plagiorchiida; Echinostomatidae
Source: Rfam
GCACGCUGACGAGUCCCAAACAGGACGAAACAGCUGUCCAGUGC